Molecule: ribosomal RNA, 440 nt
Filed under: uncultured bacterium
Lineage: Bacteria
Description: partial 16S ribosomal RNA
Rfam family: Bacterial small subunit ribosomal RNA
Source: RNAcentral
CCUACGGGAGGCAGCAGUGGGGGAUAUUGCACAAUGGGGGGAACCCUGAUGCAGCGACGCCGCGUGGGUGAAGAAGCGCCUCGGCGCGUAAAGCCCUGUCAGCAGGGAAGAAAAUGACGGUACCUGAAGAAUAAGCCCCGGCUAACUACGUGCCAGCAGCCGCGGUCAUACGUAGGGGGCAAGCGUUAUCCGGAUUUACUGGGUGUAAAGGGGGCGCAGACGGCGAUGCAAGCCAGGGGUGAAAGCCUGGGGCCUAACCCCGGGACUGCUCUUGGAACUGCGUGGCUGGAGUGCAGGAGGGGCAGGCGGAAUUCCUGGUGUAGCGGUGAAAUGCGUAGAUAUCAGGAGGAACACCGAUGGCGAAGGCAGCCUGCUGGACUGGAACUGACGUUGAGGCCCGAAAGCGUGGGGAGCAAACAGGAUUAGAUACCCUUGUAGUC